This 479-nucleotide ribosomal RNA is filed under the name uncultured Bacillota bacterium. RNAcentral's name for it is "bacterial SSU rRNA". It matches the Rfam family "Bacterial small subunit ribosomal RNA", at positions 355 to 824 of the family's 1533-position model. Lineage: Bacteria; Bacillati; Bacillota. The record is from RNAcentral.
UAGGGAAUCUUCGGCAAUGGACGAAAGUCUGACCGAGCAACGCCGCGUGAGCGAUGAAGGCCUUCGGGUCGUAAAGCUCUGUUGUUAGGGAAGAACAAGUACCGUUCGAAUAGGGCGGUACCUUGACGGUACCUAACCAGAAAGCCACGGCUAACUACGUGCCAGCAGCCGCGGUAAUACGUAGGUGGCAAGCGUUGUCCGGAAUUAUUGGGCGUAAAGCGCGCGCAGGCGGUCUCUUAAGUCUGAUGUGAAAGCCCACGGCUCAACCGUGGAGAGCCAUUGGAAACUGGGGGACUUGAGUACUGGAGAGGAGAGUGGAAUUCCAUGUGUAGCGGUGAAAUGCGUAGAUAUAUGGAGGAACACCAGUGGCGAAGGCGGCGUCUCUGGCCAGUAACUGACGCUGAGGCGCGAAAGCGUGGGAGGCAAACAGGAUUAGAUACCCUGGUAGUCCACGCCGUAAACGAUGAGUGCUAGGUGUU